GACGAACGCUGGCGGCGUGCUUAACACAUGCAAGUCGAACGGAAAGGCCCUGCUUUUGUGGGGUGCUCGAGUGGCGAACGGGUGAGUAACACGUGAGUAACCUGCCCUUGACUUUGGGAUAACUUCAGGAAACUGGGGCUAAUACCGGAUAGGAGCUCCUGCUGCAUGGUGGGGGUUGGAAAGUUUCGGCGGUUGGGGAUGGACUCGCGGCUUAUCAGCUUGUUGGUGGGGUAGUGGCUUACCAAGCCUUUGACGGGUAGCCGGCCUGAGAGGGUGACCGGCCACAUUGGGACUGAGGGACGGCCCAGACUCCUACGGGAGGCAGCAGUGGGGAAUAUUGCACAAUGGGCGGAAGCCUGAUGCAGCAACGCCGCGUGCGGGAUGACGGCCUUCGGGUUGUAAACCGCUUUCGCAUGUGACGAAGCGUGAGUGACGGUAAUGGGUAAAGAAGCACCGGCUAACUACGUG
This 468-nucleotide ribosomal RNA is filed under the name uncultured bacterium. Its description in RNAcentral is "partial 16S ribosomal RNA". It matches the Rfam family "Bacterial small subunit ribosomal RNA", at positions 28 to 507 of the family's 1533-position model. The record is from RNAcentral.